RNAcentral lists this ribosomal RNA (468 nucleotides) under uncultured bacterium. Its description in RNAcentral is "partial 16S ribosomal RNA". It matches the Rfam family "Bacterial small subunit ribosomal RNA", at positions 28 to 507 of the family's 1533-position model. The record is from RNAcentral.
GACGAACGCUGGCGGCGUGCUUAACACAUGCAAGUCGAACGGAAAGUCCCUGCCUUUGUGCGGUGCUCGAGUGGCGAACGGGUGAGUAACACGUGAGUAACCUGUCCUUGACCUUGGGAUAUCUUAAUGAAACUUGGUGUCAUACCGCCUAAGAUCUCCUGCCUCAUGGUGGGGGUGGGAUAGUUUCGGUGGUUGGGGAUGGACUCGCGGCCCAUCGGAUUGUUGGUGGGGUAGUGGAUUACCAAGGCCAGGAAGGGUAGCCGGCCUGGGAGGGUGAGCUGCCACACUGCGAUUGGGCUGCGGCCCAGACUCCACCGGGAGGCAGGAGAGGGGAAGAGUGUACAAGGGGAGGAGGGCAAACGUAGCAACGCAGCGUGGGGGAUGACGGGCAUCGGUUUGUGAAGUGAAUUCGCCUGUGACGAAGCGAGAGUGACGGUAAUGGGUAAAGAAGCACCGGCUAACUACGUG